This is a long non-coding RNA of Candoia aspera, 601 nucleotides long. RefSeq lists it as uncharacterized. The record is from RefSeq and is a predicted model, not a curated record. The transcript has 2 exons. Lineage: Eukaryota; Metazoa; Chordata; Lepidosauria; Squamata; Candoiidae.
GAACUGGAAUAAACAAUUGAUUAGAGUACAUACAGAGAGCAUAACUGUGGCCCUCCUCUUCUUCUGCACUACAGUUCCCCAGAGCUUCAGCAAGAAGGGCCAAUGGUGAAGAAUCCUGGCAUGCAGUUCUACAGUAUCUGGAGAGAAACUGACUCUUGUACCCUCGGGGAGACUAAAAACGGGCUAUGCACAGAUUACAAGCACAACUCUCAUAUUUCAGAAACUGAAUUGCACCUGAUUGUCUGGCCAUGGAAGGUGGCUCUAUAGUACAAAAGAAGACUGGUUCUGGAAUCUCAAUGCCAGCUAACAGGAGGUUCUGUACUUCACUAGCUUGACCUCGUGCUGAUCCCACAUUUCUUCCAGCUUGACAAGCUGCAGCCACCGCAGAAGCUUUUGAAGAAACAAUGGUGUCGCCAGUGGCACUCUAACGCAAGCCAAAUAACAAUGACAUAGUGGAUUACCAGUGCACAAUUGGUUUUCAUCACUAAAAAGCACUGAACAUUAUUUGGCUAUUGUCUUUCCCAGUUAAAAGACAAGCACUUCUCAUACAGCAGUACCAAGAGCAAUUCCUUUGUUUUGCACUGCCCGCAGCUAUAAUUAU